RNAcentral lists this ribosomal RNA (253 nucleotides) under uncultured bacterium. RNAcentral's name for it is "partial 16S ribosomal RNA". It matches the Rfam family "Bacterial small subunit ribosomal RNA", at positions 524 to 776 of the family's 1533-position model. The record is from RNAcentral.
UACGUAGGGGGCAAGCGUUGUCCGGACUUACUGGGCGUAAAGCGCGUGCAGGCGGAUUGGUAUGUGCCGUGUGAAAGCUCCCAGCUUGCCUGGGAGAGGUCGCGGUAGACAGCCGAUCUGGAGGCUCGGAGAGGUCAGUGGAAUUCCCGGUGUAGUGGUGAAAUGCGUAGAUAUCAAGAGGAACACCUGCGGCGAAGGCGGGUUGCUGGGCCGACACUGACGCUGAGGCGCGAAAGCUAGGGGAGCGAACGGG